RNAcentral lists this small RNA (145 nucleotides) under Flavobacterium frigoris. RNAcentral's name for it is "Flavo-1 RNA". It matches the Rfam family "Flavo-1 RNA". The record is from RNAcentral. Lineage: Bacteria; Pseudomonadati; Bacteroidota; Flavobacteriia; Flavobacteriales; Flavobacteriaceae.
UUCUAGCCCAGAUAGCAAUGAAAAUCCUUGCCUUUUGAAAAGGUGUUUUUCUUCAAAAAAAAGAGCGCCUGAAAGAAGCUCCUUUAUUUUGAUUUAGAAAAACCCUUUUUAAAAGGCAAGAUUGCAAUAAAUAGCUGGGAAUAGC